Molecule: long non-coding RNA, 1029 nt
Filed under: Gouania willdenowi (blunt-snouted clingfish)
Lineage: Eukaryota; Metazoa; Chordata; Actinopteri; Blenniiformes; Gobiesocidae
Description: lncRNA (ENSGWIG00000019703.1)
Source: RNAcentral
CAAUCACCGGAAACACUAUGAGCUGGUCUGAGAUACAGCGACUUAGAACCAGAGCUAGAGACACAAAGCCGUCCUUCCGAGGACUUUAUAGGACUAUUGCGCUGUGUGGAUGAGUCUACCCCCCCGUAGGACUGUCUCCAGGUUCUGAGGGACCACCGACUAUCCGGACCAUGAGAUCCCAUCGAGCUCGUUUCGGACUGGCUCCACCGGGAGAGGAGCCCCCUCCGUUCGAUCCGGGACAUCCGGCCUGGGGCCCCCCUCCUCCGGGUGGUUGGGGCCCAUCAUAUCCAGGCUGGGACCCCAGAGGACCCCCACCCCCUGAUUGGGACGUUUUGGGACCCCGACCCCCUGGCUGGGAUCCCAGAGGACCCCCAUACUGGGACCCCAGAGAUCCACGAGGACCCCCCUGUGACUGGGACCCUAUGGGACCAUCCUGGGACCCGAUAGGACCUCCAUACUGGGACCCCAGAGGACCCCAACCCCCAGAUUGGGACACUUUAGGACGCCCCCUCCCUCCUCCAGAGCACUGGAGACCCCCCCAGGAGAACCUCCCUCCCUGGGGGGCCCACAGUUACCCCCCUCCCCCUGCCCCCUCUCCUGCUCCACCAACCCUAGGCCCCAUCCCCAUCGCGGCAAUGCCACCACCGGUAAGCGCCCCUCCCCUUGGGUACCUGGCUGUGCCCCCUCCUGGUUGGACCCCCGAGCCAAUCAAAGAUGAGCCCAUGCUGAACCCCGCCCCUGAGCAGCCGGAGUGGAUCAAAGCUCUCAUUUUGGCUCCGGCCAAUGAAGCGCCUAAAGCUACAGACGGAGCCAAAGCUGUGAAAGAGGCCCCUGCUGAAGCCCCGCCCACUGCCACACCUGACGUCAGAGACGUGAAGAAGAGCACGAAGACCAGGACGUUUGGACUGUUGGGAAGACGCACUUUUGACAGGUGUGUGUGUGUGUGUGUGUGAUAAUAAUUGUGUGUGUGUGUGAUAAUAAUUGUGUGUGUGUUAAUGCUGUGCGAUUUUGACAAAAAACCUAAUUGUG